AGAGUUUGAUCCUGGCUCAGAGCGAACGCUGGCGGCAGGCUUAACACAUGCAAGUCGAGCGGGCGUAGCAAUACGUCAGCGGCAGACGGGUGAGUAACGCGUGGGAACGUACCUUUUGGUUCGGAACAACACAGGGAAACUUGUGCUAAUACCGGAUAAGCCCUUACGGGGAAAGAUUUAUCGCCGAAAGAUCGGCCCGCGUCUGAUUAGCUAGUUGGUGAGGUAAUGGCUCACCAAGGCGACGAUCAGUAGCUGGUCUGAGAGGAUGAUCAGCCACAUUGGGACUGAGACACGGCCCAAACUCCUACGGGAGGCAGCAGUGGGGAAUAUUGGACAAUGGGCGCAAGCCUGAUCCAGCCAUGCCGCGUGAGUGAUGAAGGCCCUAGGGUUGUAAAGCUCUUUUGUGCGGGAAGAUAAUGACGGUACCGCAAGAAUAAGCCCCGGCUAACUUCGUGCCAGCAGCCGCGGUAAUACGAAGGGGGCUAGCGUUGCUCGGAAUCACUGGGCGUAAAGGGUGCGUAGGCGGGUCUUUAAGUCAGGGGUGAAAUCCUGGAGCUCAACUCCAGAACUGCCUUUGAUACUGAAGAUCUUGAGUUCGGGAGAGGUGAGUGGAACUGCGAGUGUAGAGGUGAAAUUCGUAGAUAUUCGCAAGAACACCAGUGGCGAAGGCGGCUCACUGGCCCGAUACUGACGCUGAGGCACGAAAGCGUGGGGAGCAAACAGGAUUAGAUACCCCCGUAGUCC
This 744-nucleotide ribosomal RNA is filed under the name uncultured bacterium. Its description in RNAcentral is "bacterial SSU rRNA". It matches the Rfam family "Bacterial small subunit ribosomal RNA", at positions 8 to 796 of the family's 1533-position model. The record is from RNAcentral.